This 95-nucleotide ribosomal RNA is filed under the name Coralliozetus micropes (scarletfin blenny). RNAcentral's name for it is "partial 12S ribosomal RNA". The record is from RNAcentral. Lineage: Eukaryota; Metazoa; Chordata; Actinopteri; Blenniiformes; Chaenopsidae.
UACAUGUUAUGUAAUGAUUGAUCCCUACAUCUGCAUUGAAAAAAGCAGCAGUGAGAACCGACCAACGGUGAUUUUUAGCGCAUGUAAUGACUGAA